This 308-nucleotide ribosomal RNA is filed under the name Staphylococcus aureus. Its description in RNAcentral is "partial 23S ribosomal RNA". It matches the Rfam family "Bacterial large subunit ribosomal RNA", at positions 2388 to 2695 of the family's 2925-position model. Lineage: Bacteria; Bacillati; Bacillota; Bacilli; Caryophanales; Staphylococcaceae. The record is from RNAcentral.
CUCGAGCAGGUACGAAAGUAGGUCUUAGUGAUCCGGUGGUUCUGAAUGGAAGGGCCAUCGCUCAACGGAUAAAAGGUACUCCGGGGAUAACAGGCUGAUACCGCCCAAGAGUUCAUAUCGACGGCGGUGUUUGGCACCUCGAUGUCGGCUCAUCACAUCCUGGGGCUGAAGUAGGUCCCAAGGGUAUGGCUGUUCGCCAUUUAAAGUGGUACGCGAGCUGGGUUUAGAACGUCGUGAGACAGUUCGGUCCCUAUCUGCCGUGGGCGUUGGAAGAUUGAGAGGGGUUGCUCCUAGUACGAGAGGACCGG